GAUGAAGAACGUAGCGAAAUGCGAUAAGUAGUGUGAAUAGCAGAAUUCAGUGAAUCAUCGAAUCUUUGAACGCACAUUGCGCCUCCUGGCAUUCCGGGAGGCAUGCCUGUUCGAGCGUCAUCAAACCCCAUCGUGCAAAUGAAUUAUUUUUUUUGCGCGGAAGUGACGAUUGAGCGAGAAUAACAAAUCCUCUCGCACCUCGUCGAAAUGAUUGCGGGCGGAAUUUGGGAUCGGGUUCCUCGGCGUAGUGUAUCAAUGCAUAUUUAUGCAACUUGCCGCGGAGUUGAGCCUGACCCACGCGUUCUCGCCGUACAAACACCUCAUUACUUUACAAGUUUUUGACCUCGGAUCAGGUAGGGAUACCCGCUGAACUUAAGCAUAUCAAUAAGCGGAGGA
Molecule: unclassified non-coding RNA, 396 nt
Filed under: soil metagenome
Description: partial contains 5.8S ribosomal RNA, internal transcribed spacer 2, and large subunit ribosomal RNA
Rfam family: 5.8S ribosomal RNA (bases 1-120)
Source: RNAcentral